UGGGGAAUUUUGGACAAUGGGGGAAACCCUGAUCCAGCCAUCCCGCGUGUGCGAUGAAGGCCUUCGGGUUGUAAAGCACUUUUGGCAGGAAAGAAACGUCGCGGGUUAAUACCCCGCGAAACUGACGGUACCUGCAGAAUAAGCACCGGCUAACUACGUGCCAGCAGCCGCGGUAAUACGUAGGGUGCAAGCGUUAAUCGGAAUUACUGGGCGUAAAGCGUGCGCAGGCGGUUCGGAAAGAAAGAUGUGAAAUCCCAGAGCUUAACUUUGGAACUGCAUUUUUAACUACCGGGCUAGAGUGUGUCAGAGGGAGGUGGAAUUCCGCGUGUAGCAGUGAAAUGCGUAGAUAUGCGGAGGAACACCGAUGGCGAAGGCAGCCUCCUGGGAUAACACUGACGCUCAUGCACGAAAGCGUGGGGAGCAAACAGGAUUAGAUACCCUGGUAGUCCACGCCCUAAACGAUGUCAACUAGCUGUUGGGGGCCUUCGGGCCUUGGUAGCGCAGCUAACGCGUGAAGUUGACCGCCUGGGGAGUACGGUCGCAAGAUUAAAACUCAAAUGAAUUGACGGGGGUCAUAGCU
Molecule: ribosomal RNA, 580 nt
Filed under: uncultured bacterium
Lineage: Bacteria
Description: partial 16S ribosomal RNA
Rfam family: Bacterial small subunit ribosomal RNA
Source: RNAcentral